Zingiber officinale is the source of this 4196-nucleotide long non-coding RNA. RefSeq lists it as uncharacterized. The record is from RefSeq and is a predicted model, not a curated record. The transcript has 2 exons. NCBI's taxonomy places the organism in Eukaryota, Viridiplantae, Streptophyta, Magnoliopsida, Zingiberales, Zingiberaceae.
UAAUUUUUUAGGAUUUAAGGUGUAGGUUUAAAUGUGACAUAAAUUAUAGGACUCCAUUCUCCUCUCUUUAGUAAUUGAUAUCAUCUAAAAAUCGUAAAAAAAGGUUGGUUGGAGGUGUGGUUCAUCGGUUGACCAUGUAAAGACUCCAUUCCACAAUGUAAUAUAGGAAACGUCAGUGCCAGGUCAGGGAAAGGAUCCCGGCGUUGAUCCUUCGAUGCUCAAGUCAGUCAUCGAAAUAGUAGAAAACAGAGCAACAGUGAAAGUACAAACGUGAAUAGUAAAUAGCACAUAUCUCUACCGAUACAUAGACCCCCUUUAUAUAGUGUCCUAGUGGACGACGUGCACACUCCUCAAGGUACAGACACACUUUCACAAUCGUUUUAUGAAAAGAUAUGUCAGAAAAGUGUCUUUGAUAUCAUACCUUAAUAAGACAUGCAAAUCCUCGAUGAGAUAGUAGAAGCUUCUGCUGUACGAUUCGCCUGUUGAUCAUGCCCUGUUGUCAGUGACAUUACCUCCCAAAGGGAUAUUAAGAGAUAUGGGAAUGACUCUACUGUUCAGCCAAGCGGGCUUUCCGCUCGGCCGACACUCCUCCGCACGGUCGACCUCUGCUGCUUUCCCUGCAUUAAGUUGGUUCAGUAGAUUAUUUCUGUCCGACCGGACAAGCGCUCUAGUCACCUUAAUGUUCCUACGACCCGUAAUGAACAUAUGAUGUUCAUGCCAUGCUCUUAGCCAUACGAACGUUCUGCUCGGACAAACCAUUGGUCGAUUGGACACUUCAUGCCCGAUUGGUAACUGAAGUCGACCUCCGCUUGAUCCACUUUUGGUGAGCUCGUUGGUUCCCUAGAGUUGACCGUCUUGACUUUGACCUCCACCUUGGUUGCUAUCUCCGCCCUUGACCCGCACUUGGUGGACCCUCCCUUAUCACCGCAUCACAAGCCUUCCCCUCAAGUCUAAUCAAAGGAGGCUGUAAGUCCGACUGACUGGACGAGCAGUGUCUUCGGUGACCUUCCGCUAAUCGGGCAUUCUCUGUUCUCGGGUUGUCGAUUGGCUCAUAUCUUCAUAGUCACCAUUCUGCUUUAACUUAUUGACCUGAGCUUAGAACCGUAGCUUAGUUAAGGUGAACAUCGAAGCUGAUUCCUCCCAUAGAGUUAGAGGCGUAGCUUGGCGACUAAUUAGGCACCUGGAUUUAGAGCCGUCACUCGGCUAUCAGUUGUAGACCUGGGUUUAGAGCCACUGUUCGUCUAUCAUUUGACACACCUAUGUUUAGAGCCCCAAUCGGCUAUAUCUUAGUCAGAGCUCUAUGCCCGAUCGGGGUGGUUGGCGACAACACUGAGUAAAAUUUUCACAUCUCGUCACUUUCUCAGACGAGUGCCCUUUAUUGGUUGUUGACGUCCUCCCAAAUUUUGGAAGACUGUGCAAAUCUUUAGCCAUUAUGGCUGAGCAUGCUGUCCAUGUCUUUUAAUUAAGCCCCAUUAAUGCUUCCCCAUCACUAGUUGUCACGUGUCUCGAUCUCUAUCGUCGCACGCUUGAUGUGAUGGGCGGAUAUCCACGGAUGAUAUGACAAUCGCCUUUUUGAAUUCCAUAGUCAGAUUUUGAUUUCGUUAUCUGCAACCCUCGAUCGAACGACUGAGAGUGAUUGCCCCCGGGAUUUGUAAACCCUUAUUUACUCGCCGUUAUCUUCACAUUUCCUUGCAUUUUCUUUCUCACGCACGUUCUUUGAUGCUUCUCCUUCUCUUCGUCUUUGCUGGCGACAUUUCUCAGUAAGCUCUUUCUUUCUUUCUCUUGUCGAGUCCGUGAUCCGCUUCUUUCUCGAUUUUCUAUGGCUGUUUCUCCGUAACCUCCUGUGUCCAUUCUUGGGCUUUGGUAUACUUCUAUCGCGUCGAAAUUCAAUGGGGAUGAGAACGAUCAAAUGAAACUUAUAUAUUGUUUCCCCUCCGAUUAUCAAAUUGUUGUCACUUCAGCCUAUAAUCGGCCUCAUUUGCCUCCCGUCGACUUUUUGCCCUUCUUUAAGGACCAAUUAUGCAUCGGUCUUCAUUUUCCCAUCCACCCUUUCUUCUCAACUAUAUGUAAAUACUUUCUUAUCUCACUGCACCAAUUAGUGUUUAAAUCCUUUAGGUUGUUGUGUCGGGUAGUCGUGCUAUUUCGUCUGCAUGGCAACCCUUUAGUGCCUCAAAUAUUCCAUUAUUUUUAUUAUCCUAAGUUGUCCGAGCCAGGGACCUUUCUGUUCAAAGCUCGAGUGGGCUCUAUCUUUUUUGAUAAAAUGUCGUCUUCCAAUAAGCACUAGAGGGAGCAUAUUUUUUCAUCCAUUUUCCCUCUCGGCCCGAUUUCCUGACCAACUGGUAGAUAGGAGUGAUGAAGUCGUCACUCAGUAGAUAUCGAAGUCGAUCAGACUAUUUCCAAGCAGCUUCCAGCUUGGCUGAUCAAAAGUAUCAUAUCCAUCGACUGCUGUUGGAGAGUGUCUUAUGCGUGUUCAGAUGGAACCCAAUCCGAACGUGGUUGCCUCUCACCCUAGGUAUGUUCUUUCUUUUCUCAAUCUUUGAAUCUAACAGAUUUUUCCUCCUUUUUUGCAGCUCAAAUCAUGUUGAGGGCACGUCUGAGAGGCAAGAGUAGGCUCGCAGACGCAGAGAUUAAUGCCAAGGGCAUUGUCGAGCAAGAGAGCCAUGGCCUAUUGUCGAUCGACCAAUUCGACGAUCCAACCGGCGAGUUUGGAGGAAGCCACGCAGCGGCCAGUGAGUCCAGAGCAAGUCAAAUAGCAGCUAGUGAUGCCGCGAUCGCCACAGAUGAACUUCCUCCUGAUCGACCUUCAAUGUUGUUGAUCGCAGUGUCCUCGGAGUCGAUCACCUUAGGCGAGCCCCUAAUACAACGACGCAAGAGGCACCAAGGGGAAGCUUUGUCUCAUUCGGCAACCUCUACCUUGCAAACCCCCGCCCGUACUGGCUCACGUCCUCCCUCUGAGUGGGGUGAGACUUCAUCACCCGCCUUUCUUGAGCAGGGGACCGUCACAAUUCCUACUUCCCUGUUAUCCAACUGGACGCCCUCACUGUCCGCCCUGCCCUUGAGGACCCUGUGCGUGCCACCUGUCGCGUUCAUUCCACCUCCAUCGUCCUUGCCGGCCGCCCAGGUAUCCACCAUUCACUCUUCCCCCAUGCCCAGGUCCACAGGGCAGGCUACCUCUGAGCCAUCUGGGCCAAGCAGCCGGAGACACAUAAUGGCCAUCAUCCACUUGCCAACUGAUGAGUGGUGCCACCAGGACAACGUCGAGCUCCGCUCCCUCGAACACCAGAUCAGGAGUCAAGGACCGCUGACACAAGUCUAGGUCGAUGCUUGGGUUCGUGCGGACGGCCAUACUCAGAAGGCCACUGGAUUCUGGGUUGAGAGCCUGGCCAUGUGCCAGAGGUUAGCCUUUUUGGAGCAUGAAGUCCAACAAAUGUACGCCCUGAGCGACCCAUCUAAGGCCUCCUAGGCUCAUUUUGAAUAGCUGACUACAGAGGUGGCUCAACUAAAGGCCAACCCGGAAAGGAGCUCCGAGCAGUUCAAUGCCAAGAGGGGCAAGAAUAAUGAUCAGGCCCCACAGAUUGAGUGGCUCACCAAACAUGCUAGCAGCUUCGAGCCCAAGAUCAAUUCCGCUAAUGCCUGUAAACUUCAAGCCAUCGAGGACUUAGACAUCAAAAAUAAAGAGGCUAGGGUCCUGACCCAAAAUCUGAAGGAGGCGGAGGUUGCUCUGGUGACCGAACGUGAGAGCCGAUUAGAGGAGCAAGUGGCUACUAGCCUUCAGCUCAACGGCAAAGAUGUCGAGAUGGCUUCCUUAAAAGCUGAAUUGGAGGCAUCCCGAGAGGCCUUCAAGCAGCACCAAGAGGGAGAGCCCGGACGGUUUGAAGUUCUUAAGCGCAACUAUCUCCGAACCGACCCUUUCAAUGACAGGCUCAUCGAUUAGGCUCUUCGUCUAUUCAACUGCAGCAUUGAUGACACUCUCUAAUAGCUGAAGGACGACAGCUAUCUUUCUCCCGUGCUGACCAAUAAGAUUAUCAACAAGGAGAAGCUCACCGAGUUGUUGUCGGACGAUGUGCUUGAUUAUCUUGAAUAACCUUCUUUUUAGUUUUUCAAGCAGCUUUUUGUACUCCUUCUCAAUAUUCUAUAAAAAUUUUCUAAGUAUCAAUGAAUGUGCGCCCGUUCGGUGCUUUUCAUCUUAUGUUAAA